GAUGAACGCUGGCGGCGUGCCUAAUACAUGCAAGUCGAGCGAACGGACCAGGAGCUUUCUUCUCUGAUUUUGUCAGCGGACGGGUGCUUCACACGUGGAUGACCUACCUAUGAGACUUUUAUAACAUCGGGGAACCGUAUCUAAUACCGGAUGAUAUUUUGAACCGCAUUGUUCAAAAGUUGAAUACGGUCUUGCUGUCACUUAUGGAUUAAUCCGCGUUGCAUUAGCUAGUUGGUAAGGUAACGGCUUAACAAGGCAACGAUGGAUAGCCGACCUGAGAGCGUGGUCCGACACCCUGGAACUGAGGAACGGCCGAGACUCUUAGGGGAGGACGCAGUCGGGAAUCUUACGCGAUGGGGCAAAGCCUGACGGAGCACAGCCGGGGGAGUGAUGAAGGUCUUAGGAUGGUAAAAUUAUGUUAUUAGGGAAGAAGAUAAGUGCAAGUAACUGUGAACAUAUUGACGGUACCUAAUCAGAAAGCCACGGCUAACUCCGUG
This 497-nucleotide ribosomal RNA is filed under the name uncultured bacterium. Its description in RNAcentral is "partial 16S ribosomal RNA". It matches the Rfam family "Bacterial small subunit ribosomal RNA", at positions 28 to 507 of the family's 1533-position model. The record is from RNAcentral.